UAUCAGUUGGAAAGCAAGUCCUUGGAAACGUCCGUUGUCGUCAAGCUUUAUCAGCAACAAUAGCAGGGGGAAUUAAUUAGGUGGCGCUACAGUCGUCCGUAACGUCAAAAAGUCCGCCAAAUCAAUCGGCUAAAAGAUUGACGUUUAAAGUAUUUUUUGCAACUUGUCAUGCUUUUAUUAUAAUUAAAUUUUAAAAUUUGUAGGUUUUGUGACCAAUAUAAUUUCUUUACGACAUACAAACAUUACAAAAAAUAGCUUGUUAUUGCUAUUCCUUUAUCCUGUCCGUUCUAAAAAAAAAUAGCCAUCUUUUUUGUUCGCCAAAAAAAAUCGAUUUUUCCUAAUUUGACGUUUGCGUAUCCAAAUACAGAAAAGAACGGUUAUAAUCUUAAAUGAAACCGGGAAACCUAUUUCAAAUUUAUACACUGUUUUGAAGCCAUCAUUUUUUACUUUUAUACAUCAAUUUUAGUGACCACCAGCCAUGUCAAUUUUUAUCUGGUUUUAGCUACGUUUCUACUUCAAAACAGUAAAGUUUAGCUUCUUUUCAUUGUACCUGUUUCAAAGUGCUCUAAAAUACUGAUUUUAUUAAAGACAUGAAUGAAAUUUUGAUUAAAAGUUGUGGAUUUUCACAAUUCCAUACGAUACUUGUAUUUUAAAGUAACUAAAACCCCUUUUGAUCCCCUACACAAAUUGACGGUGACAUUGUUUUCUUUUUUCAACAUACGUCAUGUAACGUUUAUAACAAAAUAUGUGUCAGGGUCAUGUGCAUAGUAAAAAUUUACACAUUGGAAAAGUGAAACAACAAACAAAGAUCUUCUUUAUUGCGUUUAAAGCUAAACGUCUUGGAAAAUUCUGACAGAUCUGACAAAUUAUUGAUAGCCUACUGUAUGGAUGGACAAAAGCACAAAAAUAGCAAUAGAAAAUGCAUUGCAAAGAAAAUUCUGUAGGAAAAAAAACAUAUGAAAAAAGAAAAUGAAGGUCAGUUAAUAAAAUCUUGCUUAUAUUAUUAUCUCUUUACUUAGUAAGCUAUAUUUCCAUUCUCAAUUUUAUAGUAAUAAGAGCAAAAACUAGCUUAUCAAGCCAAGUCAGCCAAACAA
Molecule: long non-coding RNA, 1094 nt
Filed under: Mytilus galloprovincialis (Mediterranean mussel)
Lineage: Eukaryota; Metazoa; Mollusca; Bivalvia; Mytilida; Mytilidae
Source: RNAcentral